CAUCAGACAGGAUGAGGUCAGGAUGUGUUGUAUCAGGAUCGAGUGUCACAUCCACUGCAUACUGCUGGACCCUCUUCAGCUCGG
Molecule: long non-coding RNA, 84 nt
Organism: Micropterus salmoides (largemouth bass)
Lineage: Eukaryota; Metazoa; Chordata; Actinopteri; Centrarchiformes; Centrarchidae
Exons: 3
Source: RefSeq, a predicted model, not a curated record